GGUUAAGCGACUAAGCGUACACGGUGGAUGCCCUGGCAGUCAGAGGCGAUGAAGGGCGUGCUAAUCUGCGAUAAGCGCCGGUAAGGUGAUAUGAACCGUUAUAACCGGCGAUACCCGAAUGGGGAAACCCAGUGUGACUCGUCACACUAUCAUUAACUGAAUCCAUAGGUUAAUGAGGCGAACCGGGGGAACUGAAACAUCUAAGUACCCCGAGGAAAAGAAAUCAACCGAGAUUCCCCCAGUAGCGGCGAGCGAACGGGGAGGAGCCCAGAGCCUGAAUCAGCAUGUGUGUUAGUGGAAGCGUCUGGAAAGGCGCGCGAUACAGGGUGACAGCCCCGUACACAAAAGCGCAUGUGCUGUGAGCUCGAUGAGUAGGGCGGGACACGUGGUAUCCUGUCUGAAUAUGGGGGGACCAUCCUCCAAGGCUAAAUACUCCUGACUGACCGAUAGUGAACCAGUACCGUGAGGGAAAGGCGAAAAGAACCCCGGCGAGGGGAGUGAAAAAGAACCUGAAACCGUGUACGUACAAGCAGUGGGAGCACAGGUUUACCUGUGUGACUGCGUACCUUUUGUAUAAUGGGUCAGCGACUUAUAUUCUGUAGCAAGGUUAACCGCAUAGGGGAGCCGGAGGGAAACCGAGUCUUAAUUGGGCGUUAAGUUGCAGGGUAUAGACCCGAAACCCGGUGAUCUAGCCAUGGGCAGGUUGAAGGUUGGGUAACACUAACUGGAGGACCGAACCGACUAAUGUUGAAAAAUUAGCGGAUGACCUGUGGCUGGGGGUGAAAGGCCAAUCAAACCGGGAGAUAGCUGGUUCUCCCCGAAAGCUAUUUAGGUAGCGCCUCGUGAAUUCAUCUCCGGGGGUAGAGCACUGUUUCGGCUAGGGGGCCAUCCCGGCUUACCAACCCGAUGCAAACUGCGAAUACCGGAGAAUGUUAUCACGGGAGACACACGGCGGGUGCUAACGUCCGUCGUGAAGAGGGAAACAACCCAGACCGCCAGCUAAGGUCCCAAAGUCAUGGUUAAGUGGGAAACGAUGUGGGAAGGCCCAGACAGCCAGGAUGUUGGCUUAGAAGCAGCCAUCAUUUAAAGAAAGCGUAAUAGCUCACUGGUCGAGUCGGCCUGCGCGGAAGAUGUAACGGGGCUAAACCAUGCACCGAAGCUGCGGCAGCGAACGUAUCACUUAAAGCGAUUCAGCGGGUUACGAUUGACGGAGCGAAGCGACGUCAAAGCGUAUACAAAGUCGAGUCGGUUUAAGGAUACGUUCGUUGGGUAGGGGAGCGUUCUGUAAGCCUGCGAAGGUGGCCUGUGAGGGUUGCUGGAGGUAUCAGAAGUGCGAAUGCUGACAUAAGUAACGAUAAAGCGGGUGAAAAGCCCGCUCGCCGGAAGACCAAGGGUUCCUGUCCAACGUU
Molecule: ribosomal RNA, 1409 nt
Filed under: Salmonella enterica subsp. enterica serovar Agona str. 400095 18
Lineage: Bacteria; Pseudomonadati; Pseudomonadota; Gammaproteobacteria; Enterobacterales; Enterobacteriaceae
Description: bacterial LSU rRNA
Rfam family: Bacterial large subunit ribosomal RNA
Source: RNAcentral